GGAUGUCUGCUUCGACCUAUUCUUGACCGCAGCACAUUCGUUUUCCUUACAGUAUGUAGUACGCAUUCUACCUUUUUCUACAAUGAAUCCACCAGCAGAAAUUCCUGUACACAUCUUAUCAACAAAGAAUUUGAACCUCAAAGAGUGGCUCAAAGAGGUCAGGAGGCACCUUCAACACUUUUGUUGGAGAUCUCCUUGUCUAGAUCAUCAGAUUCUCACUCUGUCACCUAGGCUGCAGUGCAGUGGUGCGAUCUCAACUCACUGCAACCUCUACCUCCUGGGUUCAAGCAAUUCUCCUGCCUCAGCCUCCCAAGUAGCUGGGAUUACAGGAAUUACACACUAAUAGUGAAGAACAGGUGGCACCUGAAAUCACAGAAAAUUUAUUUGUCCUCAAUGCAAAGAUGAACUAUGAAGAGCACUUUAUUGUGUUUGAAGAAUAUAGGAAUGAUGAGUGAAAUGGUGAAGGAAGUGGAUAAACAAUGAUGUAACGACUGAGCGUCAUCUUGCAACUGAAUAAGCCAGUGAGGAACUUGGUAAAUUUGUUGAUUAUAUUUAGUUUUACAAUGUUUAAUUCUUUAUUAUUUUGAAGUGAUGUAUUUUAUUAUUAGGAAUGAUCAAUAGUAAUGCAUCCUCCAAAACUGUGGAAAGAUCAUAUUGUGCAAACUAGAGCAAAAAAUCACAUUCCUCUUGCAUGGGCAUGAAAUCUUUAUCAAAUGACAUCAGGCACUGAAGCAGCUAUCUGAUACCU
RNAcentral lists this non-coding RNA (748 nucleotides) under Pan troglodytes (chimpanzee). The record is from RNAcentral. Lineage: Eukaryota; Metazoa; Chordata; Mammalia; Primates; Hominidae.